CAGUCGCCGCGGUAAUACAGAGGGUGCGAGCGUUAAUCGGAUUUACUGGGCGUAAAGCGUGCGUAGGCGGCUUCUUAAGUCGGAUGUGAAAUCCCUGAGCUUAACUUAGGAAUUGCAUUCGAUACUGGGAAGCUAGAGUAUGGGAGAGGAUGGUAGAAUUCCAGGUGUAGCGGUGAAAUGCGUAGAGAUCUGGAGGAAUACCGAUGGCGAAGGCAGCCAUCUGGCCUAAUACUGACGCUGAGGUACGAAAGCAUGGGGAGCAAACAGGAUUGAUACCCGUGUAGUCCCUGUCUCUUAUACU
RNAcentral lists this ribosomal RNA (301 nucleotides) under uncultured bacterium. RNAcentral describes it as "partial 16S ribosomal RNA". It matches the Rfam family "Bacterial small subunit ribosomal RNA", at positions 509 to 810 of the family's 1533-position model. The record is from RNAcentral.